GCACCCUUGGUGUAUGGAAACACACAUCUUUGAAUUAAUGUAUUCCUGUAUCUGGUUAACCAAGAUGAGUCCGGGGUUCAAAUCCCCGAGGGUGCA
Molecule: non-coding RNA, 96 nt
Organism: Mycena albidolilacea
Lineage: Eukaryota; Fungi; Basidiomycota; Agaricomycetes; Agaricales; Mycenaceae
Source: the annotation of a GenBank genome assembly